CCUACUGGUGACAGCAGUGAGGAAUAUUGGUCAAUGGACGAGAGUCUGAACCAGCCAAGUAGCGUGAAGGAUGACUGCCCUAUGGGUUGUAAACUUCUUUUAUAUGGGAAUAAAAUGUUCCACGUGUGGGAUUUUGUAUGUACCAUAUGAAUAAGGAUCGGCUAACUCCGUGCCAGCAGCCGCGGUAAUACGGAGGAUCCGAGCGUUAUCCGGAUUUAUUGGGUUUAAAGGGAGCGUAGGUGGAUUGUUAAGUCAGUUGUGAAAGUUUGCGGCUCAACCGUAAAAUUGCAGUUGAAACUGGCAGUCUUGAGUACAGUAGAGGUGGGCGGAAUUCGUGGUGUAGCGGUGAUAUGCUUAGAGAUCACGAAGAACUCCGAUUGCGAAGGCAGUUCACUGGACUGCAACUGACACUGAGGCUCGAAAGUGUGGGUAUCAAACAGGAUUAGAUACCCCAGUAGUC
Molecule: ribosomal RNA, 460 nt
Filed under: uncultured bacterium
Lineage: Bacteria
Description: partial 16S ribosomal RNA
Rfam family: Bacterial small subunit ribosomal RNA
Source: RNAcentral